UGUUUCCAUCGAUAGUAUUAGAAAAAACAGUUACUUCCCAUUAUUAUUAUUUUCUACAAAUGAGCAGGGUUUUUGUCUUGCAUGGCUAACUCAGGGUGCUGCUCCUGUGCUCUCUGAUUAAUGUGUCUUUUUAAUCUUAAUAGCAUGAGAUGGACUUCCUUAGCAGCCACUGGUAAAAUAAUUAGAAGAGUUAGAUAUGAAAUCUGAAUUAAUAAUUUCAGUGACAGCCCGCUCAAUAAGAGAAGUAAACAAUGUUUGACAUGCAUUACAUUUUUUGUUUUAUAACAUUUGGCAAGAGCAUCUUGUUUAAGUAUAGCACGUCUGGCAUUUUUUGUUUGUACAAGUACGUAACAACACAGGCAUUAUGUAUGUCAAGUCAAGGGAUACCAGUUUCCAGGUAUCUUUAUUUUAGGCUGAGUUUUUAUCAUCAUAAAGGCCUGAUUCUUAAACAUAUUGGAACAAAUGGUUUUUGUAUGAUUGCAAUUUGGAACAAGCUUUUCCAGUUUUCUAUAUUAGAACUUCAAGAAUGUAUACUAGUAUGAUAUAUCAUUUAUUUGCAGACUGCAAAUGUCUGGGUAGUGUUCGAGUUAGCUUAGGAAGAUCUUGUGGGAGAUGAUGUUCAAGAAGUGGUUAUGUUCAGUUGCCAUGGUUAUUUCAUGAAAAUAUGUGUCGUUAGUUAAAUCCCCGUAUAGUUUAAUUUGCACAAUAAAUAAAAAUAUAUGGGUGCAAACUUAUCACUUGAAACAAAAUCCUUAUAAUCCCAGGUCUUAUGAGAAUAAAUUCAAACUGAGAUAUAUAAUAUGCAUAGAUACACAGAAGCAGUGGCAGCUAAGGUAAAAGUAUUCAUCUUUUUUACAUAAGUAGCAAAGCAGGUCAGAAAUGCAAAGCAGUUCAGAAAUAAAUGAGUUUCUAUAAACUGAAGUGAUGAUGUGAUAAUCUGAAUUUUGGAAGUGAUUCAGAAUUACUAAUAAUGAAGCUGGCUCUCAUCCCCUCUCUGCUUUUUUAUAUCAUUGAAAGAGGCAACAGAACGAAUAGAAAAGCGACUAUUCUGGUUGUGCAAAUGAGCACGUAGAAUUAGUUGUUCAACUGAAGGUAAUUUCUCAAAUGAUCUCUCAAAUCUUUACUGACUGCUUAUAUUUCUGUUUAAGCAUUGAAUGACCUUGAUGGUAGAAUGUGAAUAAUGCCUGAAAGGGAAAUACAAGUUUGUCCAAUUAUUUCUUGCCGCUAACUGCUUAAAGAUAACAUUACCUUUAUUAGGUUGUCUGCUUAGAUGCAUAAACAUGAAAUAUAUACAGUUAUGAGCCCCUGUUUAUAAUGCUUUGCUCUUUCCCGUGGUGUAAAGGAUUAAGGUAAUCCAUUAAACAGCAGAAGAGGGACAGCCUUCAUCCUUCUCUGUUCCCUCUUUAUUUGCAAGUCAAGUAUGAGGUGUUCCUAUACAUGGAAGCCACAUCCAUCAUGCAUUAGAACAGAACUCAGGUUUUGUGGGUCUUUUGGAUUGUGAGCAUUCUGAUUUUUAGAACUCUGUUUUUUAUUCUGCUCUGGAAAGAUUUGAGCAACUAUGCAUUAAUAUAAUGGGGUGGUCUGUAUAAAACAUGGCAAAAAUACCAUGUGUCCUAAAGGUGCAGUAGGGUUUUAAUUGGCUACAAAUUAAGAUAAAUUGUAUGAAAUAAUUUAGUAAUAUCAAGUUACUUUCUUUCUUUCACCUUUGGACUUUUUAAGUACAGAUAUAACAUCUCAAAUAUCAACUGAUGUAGAAUGGAUGUGAAAAAAAAAAGGUUGAUCACAGAUUAGAUGUAUGAAAAAGAGUGUGAUGGACUUUAGGUACUAUGUGAGUACAGUGCAGAGGGGCAGUAAGGCGUAGCUCUGAGGGGGAAUGCACUGAAUAGCGUUUAGUGACUUGAAAGCCAAUAUCAAUUCCAGAGCAAAGGCAGAGGUCCAUGUGUGAGUUCUGGUGAUAAUGUGGAUAAUGAUUCUGUCAAGUCAGAUGCACAUGCUGACCGAUAUAAAUGAGUUAUCAAGGCUUUGUGAAUAAUGUCCUGGUGAUGAGCCAUAAAUCAAAGUGCAAUCAUCAGUCCAUCUGUAGAGGCCUAGAAUGGUUCAGUAGUAACCCUCAAGUUGGUACACAUAUUAAUAUGAAAAAUAAUGAGUCUGCCAACUUAAAGCAGGGAUUUGUUUUGGAUAAACACUGUUAGAAUUUGGGCUGGCCAAUAAAGCCAAUUGACAGAUUCGUUUGUCAUACGAAUAAUAUCUCAUUCAGUGCAUUAAAACAAC
RNAcentral lists this long non-coding RNA (2271 nucleotides) under Gallus gallus (chicken). Lineage: Eukaryota; Metazoa; Chordata; Aves; Galliformes; Phasianidae. The record is from RNAcentral.